RNAcentral lists this ribosomal RNA (485 nucleotides) under Fusarium oxysporum. RNAcentral describes it as "eukaryotic LSU rRNA". It matches the Rfam family "Eukaryotic large subunit ribosomal RNA", at positions 116 to 624 of the family's 3401-position model. Lineage: Eukaryota; Fungi; Ascomycota; Sordariomycetes; Hypocreales; Nectriaceae. RNAcentral also lists the same sequence under 2 other names. The record is from RNAcentral.
UGAAAUCUGGCUCUCGGGCCCGAGUUGUAAUUUGUAGAGGAUACUUUUGAUGCGGUGCCUUCCGAGUUCCCUGGAACGGGACGCCAUAGAGGGUGAGAGCCCCGUCUGGUUGGAUGCCAAAUCUCUGUAAAGUUCCUUCAACGAGUCGAGUAGUUUGGGAAUGCUGCUCUAAAUGGGAGGUAUAUGUCUUCUAAAGCUAAAUACCGGCCAGAGACCGAUAGCGCACAAGUAGAGUGAUCGAAAGAUGAAAAGCACUUUGAAAAGAGAGUUAAAAAGUACGUGAAAUUGUUGAAAGGGAAGCGUUUAUGACCAGACUUGGGCUUGGUUAAUCAUCUGGGGUUCUCCCCAGUGCACUUUUCCAGUCCAGGCCAGCAUCAGUUUUCCCCGGGGGAUAAAGGCGGCGGGAAUGUGGCUCUCUUCGGGGAGUGUUAUAGCCCACCGUGUAAUACCCUGGGGGGGACUGAGGUUCGCGCAUCUGCAAGGAU